This 497-nucleotide ribosomal RNA is filed under the name uncultured bacterium. Its description in RNAcentral is "partial 16S ribosomal RNA". It matches the Rfam family "Bacterial small subunit ribosomal RNA", at positions 28 to 507 of the family's 1533-position model. The record is from RNAcentral.
GAUGAACGCUGGCGGCGUGCCUAAUACAUGCAAGUCGAGCGAACAGACGAGGAGCUUGCUCCUCUGACGUUAGCGGCGGACGGGUGAGUAACACGUGGAUAACCUACCUAUAAGACUGGGAUAACUUCGGGAAACCGGAGCUAAUACCGGAUAAUAUAUUGAACCGCAUGGUUCAAUAGUGAAAGACGGUUUUGCUGUCACUUAUAGAUGGAUCCGCGCCGCAUUAGCUAGUUGGUAAGGUAACGGCUUACCAAGGCAACGAUGCGUAGCCGACCUGAGAGGGUGGCCGACCACACUGGAACUGAGACACGGUCCAGACUCCAACAGGAGGCAGCAGUAGGGAAUCUUCCGCAAUGGGCGAAAGCGUGACGGAGCAACGCCGCGUGAGUGAUUAAGGUCUUCGGAUCGUAAAACUCUGUUAUUAGGGAAGAACAAAUGUGUAAGUAACUAUGCACGUCUUGACGGUACCUAAUCAGAAAGCCACGGCUAACUACGUG